This 497-nucleotide ribosomal RNA is filed under the name uncultured bacterium. RNAcentral describes it as "partial 16S ribosomal RNA". It matches the Rfam family "Bacterial small subunit ribosomal RNA", at positions 28 to 507 of the family's 1533-position model. The record is from RNAcentral.
GAUGAACGCUGGCGCCGUGCCUAAUACAUGCAAGUCGAGCGAACGGACGAGAAGCUUGCUUCUCUGAUGUUAGCGGCGGACGGGUGAGUAACACGUGGAUAACCUACCUAUAAGACUGGGAUAACUUCGGGAAACCGUAGCUAAUACCGGAUAAUAUUUUGAACCGCAUGGUUCAAAAGUGAAAGACGGUCUUGCUGUCACUUAUAGAUGGAUCCGCGCUGCAUUAGCUAGUUGGUAAGGUAACGGCUUACCAAGGCAACGAUGCAUAGCCGACCUGAGAGGGUGAUCGGCCACACUGGAACUGAGACACGGUCCAGACUCCUACGGGAGGCAGCAGUAGGGAAUCUUCCGCAAUGGGCGAAAGCCUGACGGAGCAACGCCGCGUGAGUGAUGAAGGUCUUCGGAUCGUAAAACUCUGUUAUUAGGGAAGAACAUAUGUGUAAGUAACUGUGCACAUCUUGACGGUACCUAAUCAGAAAGCCACGGCUAACUACGUG